RNAcentral lists this ribosomal RNA (465 nucleotides) under Vreelandella stevensii. RNAcentral describes it as "partial 16S ribosomal RNA". It matches the Rfam family "Bacterial small subunit ribosomal RNA", at positions 338 to 795 of the family's 1533-position model. Lineage: Bacteria; Pseudomonadati; Pseudomonadota; Gammaproteobacteria; Oceanospirillales; Halomonadaceae. The record is from RNAcentral.
CCUACGGGAGGCAGCAGUGGGGAAUAUUGGACAAUGGGGGCAACCCUGAUCCAGCCAUGCCGCGUGUGUGAAGAAGGCCCUCGGGUUGUAAAGCACUUUCAGUGAGGAAGAACGCCUGGUGGUUAAUACCCAUCAGGAAAGACAUCACUCACAGAAGAAGCACCGGCUAACUCCGUGCCAGCAGCCGCGGUAAUACGGAGGGUGCGAGCGUUAAUCGGAAUUACUGGGCGUAAAGCGCGCGUAGGUGGCUUGAUAAGCCGGUUGUGAAAGCCCCGGGCUCAACCUGGGAACGGCAUCCGGAACUGUCAAGCUAGAGUGCAGGAGAGGAAGGUAGAAUUCCCGGUGUAGCGGUGAAAUGCGUAGAGAUCGGGAGGAAUACCAGUGGAGAAGGCGGCCUUCUGGACUGACACUGACACUGAGGUGCGAAAGCGUGGGUAGCAAACAGGAUUAGAUACCCUAGUAGUC